This 433-nucleotide ribosomal RNA is filed under the name uncultured bacterium. Its description in RNAcentral is "partial 16S ribosomal RNA". It matches the Rfam family "Bacterial small subunit ribosomal RNA", at positions 29 to 507 of the family's 1533-position model. The record is from RNAcentral.
AGCGAACGCUGGCGGCAGGCCUAACACAUGCAAGUCGAACGAACUCUUCGGAGUUAGUGGCGGACGGGUGAGUAACACGUGGGAACGUGCCUUUUGGCUCGGAAUAACUCAGGGAAACUUGUGCUAAUACCGAAUGUGCCCUUCGGGGGAAAGAUUUAUCGCCAUUAGAGCGGCCCGCGUCUGAUUAGCUAGUUGGUGAGGUAACGGCUCACCAAGGCGACGAUCAGUAGCUGGUCUGAGAGGAUGACCAGCCACACUGGGACUGAGACACGGCCCAGACUCCUACGGGAAGCAGCAGUGGGGAAUCUUGCGCAAUGGGCGAAAGCCUGACGCAGCCAUGCCGCGUGAAUGAUGAAGGUCUUAGGAUUGUAAAAUUCUUUCACCGGGGACGAUAAUGACGGUACCCGGAGAAGAAGCCCCGGCUAACUUCGUG